Molecule: ribosomal RNA, 233 nt
Filed under: uncultured bacterium
Lineage: Bacteria
Description: partial 16S ribosomal RNA
Rfam family: Bacterial small subunit ribosomal RNA
Source: RNAcentral
GGCGGAAGCACUGGGCUUAAAGCGUGUGUAGGCGGACGCGUAAGUGUCGUGUGAAAUCCCACGGCUCACCCGUGGAACUGCUGGGCAUACUGGGCGUCUUGGGCCAACUAGGGGCAGCCGGAACAAGCGGUGGAGCGGUGAAAUGCGUAGAUAUCGCUUGGAACGCCGAAGGUGAAAACAGGCUGCUGGGGUUGCGCCGACGCUGAGACACGAAAGCCAGGGGAGCAAACGGG